GACGAACGCUGGCGGCGUGCCUAAUACAUGCAAGUUGAACGCAACAAAGACACCAGAGCUUGCUCUACCGUCUUUGUUGAGUAGCGAACGGGUGAGUAACGCGUGGGUAACCUGCCUUAUAGCGGGGGAUAACUAUUGGAAACGAUAGCUAAUACCGCAUAACAAUAGAGAUUGCAUAAUCUUUAUUUGAAAGUGCCAACUGGUACACUAUGAGAUGGACCCGCGUUGUAUUAGCUAGUUGGUAGUGUAAUGGACUACCAAGGCGAUGAUACAUAGCCGACCUGAGAGGGUGAUCGGCCACAUUGGGAACUGAGACACGGCCCAAACUCCUACGGGAGGCAGCAGUAGGGAAUCUUCGGC
Molecule: ribosomal RNA, 360 nt
Filed under: uncultured bacterium
Lineage: Bacteria
Description: bacterial SSU rRNA
Rfam family: Bacterial small subunit ribosomal RNA
Source: RNAcentral